UACGUAGGGGGCAAGCGUUGUCCGGAUUUAUUGGGCGUAAAGAGCGUGUAGGCGGCCAGAUAGGUCCGUUGUGAAAACUGGAGGCUUAACCUCCAGCGGUCGAUGGAAACCAUCUGGCUAGAGUCCGGAAGAGGAGAGUGGAAUUCCUGGUGUAGCGGUGAAAUGCGCAGAUAUCAGGAAGAACACCCGUGGCGAAGGCGGCUCUCUGGGACGGUACUGACGCUGAGGCGCGAAAGCUAGGGGAGCAAACGGG
This 253-nucleotide ribosomal RNA is filed under the name uncultured bacterium. Its description in RNAcentral is "partial 16S ribosomal RNA". It matches the Rfam family "Bacterial small subunit ribosomal RNA", at positions 524 to 776 of the family's 1533-position model. The record is from RNAcentral.